UACGGAGGGUGCGAGCGUUAUCCGGAUUCACUGGGCUUAAAGGGCGCGUAGGCGGGAAUGUAAGUCAGUGGUGAAAUCUCUGGGCUUAACUCAGAAACUGCCAUUGAUACUAUGUUUCUUGAAUUUUCUGGAGGUCAGCGGAAUAUGUCAUGUAGCGGUGAAAUGCUUAGAUAUGACAUAGAACACCAAUUGCGAAGGCAGCUGGCUACAGGGAUAUUGACACUGAGGCACGAAAGCGUGGGGAGCAAACAGG
This 253-nucleotide ribosomal RNA is filed under the name uncultured bacterium. RNAcentral describes it as "partial 16S ribosomal RNA". It matches the Rfam family "Bacterial small subunit ribosomal RNA", at positions 524 to 776 of the family's 1533-position model. The record is from RNAcentral.